GAUGAACGCUGGCGGCGUGCCUAAUACAUGCAAGUCGAGCGAACAGAUGAGGAGCUUGCUCCUCUGACGUUAGCGGCGGACGGGUGAGUCACAUGUGGAUAACCUACCUAUAUGUGUGGGAUAACUUGGGGAAACCGGAGCUAAUACCGGAUAAUAUAUUGAACCGCAUGGUUCAAUAGUGAAAGACGGUUUUGCUGUGACUUAUAGAUGGAUCCUCGCCGCAUUAGAUGGUUGGUAAGGUAACGGGUUUCCAAGGCAACGAUGCGUGUCCGACCGGUUGGAGUGGUCGCCGACACUGGAACUGAGCCAGGGUCCAUGCUCCUACGGGAGGCCCCAGUAUGCAAUCUUCCGCAAAGGUCGAAAGCCUUACGGAGCAGCGCCGCGUGAGUUAUAAAGGUCUCCGGAGCGUAAUACUCUGUUAUUAGGGAAGAACAAAUUUGUACUUAACUGUGCACGUCUUGACGGUACCGAGUCAGAAAGCCACGGCUAACUACGUG
RNAcentral lists this ribosomal RNA (497 nucleotides) under uncultured bacterium. Its description in RNAcentral is "partial 16S ribosomal RNA". It matches the Rfam family "Bacterial small subunit ribosomal RNA", at positions 28 to 507 of the family's 1533-position model. The record is from RNAcentral.